UGAUCGUGAAGCCCAGCUGCAGCAUCAGCUGGAGGUGCGUAAACUGGAGAUUGAGGCUGACAAAGCUGUCAAACUACGGGAGCUGGAGCUCCAGGCCCAAAGGCUAACCCACAUCCCACCCACACCUGCUAGCGACACAGUAAGUGUGUGGAGAGUGGGGCUGGCAGCCCAGAUAAAGCCUGAGGCGAAGCCCCUUGGAGAGAGGUGUGGGUGGAGUGUCGUGCCACUGCAGAGACGACCUUUUGAAUAAAAGCCACUUCCCUGUGAGGAGUCCAGAUGAAGUGUGUGGUGUCAUCAUGCCAACAUUUAAAGAGUGCUUCAGAAAUAGGCUGUGGAUGC
Amphiprion ocellaris (clown anemonefish) is the source of this 339-nucleotide long non-coding RNA. The record is from Ensembl. Lineage: Eukaryota; Metazoa; Chordata; Actinopteri; Pomacentridae.